This 253-nucleotide ribosomal RNA is filed under the name uncultured bacterium. RNAcentral's name for it is "partial 16S ribosomal RNA". It matches the Rfam family "Bacterial small subunit ribosomal RNA", at positions 524 to 776 of the family's 1533-position model. The record is from RNAcentral.
UACGUAGGGACCAAGCGUUGUUCGGAUUUACUGGGCGUAAAGGGCGCGUAGGCGGCGCGGUAAGUCACUUGUGAAAUCUCUGAGCUUAACUCAGAACGGCCAAGUGAUACUGCAGUGCUAGAGUGUGGAAGGGGCAAUCGGAAUUCUUGGUGUAGUGGUGAAAUGCGUAGAUAUCAAGAGGAACACCUGAGGUGAAGACGGGUUGCUGGGCCAACACUGACGCUGAUGCGCGAAAGCCAGGGGAGCAAACGGG